Molecule: ribosomal RNA, 264 nt
Filed under: uncultured Enterobacteriaceae bacterium
Lineage: Bacteria; Pseudomonadati; Pseudomonadota; Gammaproteobacteria; Enterobacterales; Enterobacteriaceae
Description: partial 16S ribosomal RNA
Rfam family: Bacterial small subunit ribosomal RNA
Source: RNAcentral
CCAGCGGUCCGGCCGGGAACGUCAAAGAGACUGCCAGUGAUAAACUGGAGGAAGGUGGGGAUGACGUCAAGUCAUCAUGGCCCUUACGACCAGGGCUACACACGUGCUACAAUGGCGCAUACAAAGAGAAGCGACCUCGCGAGAGCAAGCGGACCUCAUAAAGUGCGUCGUAGUCCGGAUUGGAGUCUGCAACUCGACUCCAUGAAGUCGGAAUCGCUAGUAAUCGUGGAUCAGAAUGCCACGGUGAAUACGUUCCCGGGCCUU